GCCUCAGUAGUGCAGUGGUUAGCACACUUGCCGAAAAUGUGAAGCCUAGGGUUCAACUCCCAUUUGAGGCC
This is a non-coding RNA of Parelaphostrongylus tenuis, 71 nucleotides long. The record is from the annotation of a GenBank genome assembly. NCBI's taxonomy places the organism in Eukaryota, Metazoa, Nematoda, Chromadorea, Rhabditida, Metastrongylidae.